UACGGAGGGUGCGAGCGUUGUCCGGAAUCAUUGGGCGUAAAGGGCGCGUAGGUGGCGGGACAAGCGUGCGGUGAAAGCUCGGGGCUCAACCCCGCGUCGGCCGUGCGAACUGUUUUGCUGGAGCACUGUAGAGGCAGGCGGAAUUCCGGGUGUAGCGGUGGAAUGCGUAGAGAUCCGGAAGAACACCGGUGGCGAAGGCGGCCUGCUGGGCAGUUGCUGACGCUCAGGCACGAAAGCGUGGGGAGCAAAAGGG
RNAcentral lists this ribosomal RNA (253 nucleotides) under uncultured bacterium. RNAcentral's name for it is "partial 16S ribosomal RNA". It matches the Rfam family "Bacterial small subunit ribosomal RNA", at positions 524 to 776 of the family's 1533-position model. The record is from RNAcentral.